RNAcentral lists this ribosomal RNA (157 nucleotides) under Hymenoscyphus waikaia. Its description in RNAcentral is "5.8S ribosomal RNA". It matches the Rfam family "5.8S ribosomal RNA". Rfam says of the family: 5.8S ribosomal RNA (5.8S rRNA) is a component of the large subunit of the eukaryotic ribosome. It is transcribed by RNA polymerase I as part of the 45S precursor that also contains 18S and 28S rRNA. RNAcentral also lists the same sequence under 1 other name. The record is from RNAcentral. Lineage: Eukaryota; Fungi; Ascomycota; Leotiomycetes; Helotiales; Helotiaceae.
AAACUUUCAACAACGGAUCUCUUGGCUCUGGCAUCGAUGAAGAACGCAGCGAAAUGCGAUAAGUAAUGUGAAUUGCAGAAUUCAGUGAAUCAUCGAAUCUUUGAACGCACAUUGCGCCCCUUGGUAUUCCGAGGGGCAUGCCUGUUCGAGCGUCAUU